Molecule: ribosomal RNA, 484 nt
Filed under: uncultured bacterium
Lineage: Bacteria
Description: partial 16S ribosomal RNA
Rfam family: Bacterial small subunit ribosomal RNA
Source: RNAcentral
AUUGAACGCUGGCGGCAGGCCUAACACAUGCAAGUCGAGCGGAUGAAGGGAGCUUGCUCCUGGAUUCAGCGGCGGACGGGUGAGUAAUGCCUAGGAAUCUGCCUGGUAGUGGGGGAUAACGUCCGGAAACGGGCGCUAAUACCGCAUACGUCCUGAGGGAGAAAGUGGGGGAUCUUCGGACCUCACGCUAUCAGAUGAGCCUAGGUCGGAUUAGCUAGUUGGUGGGGUAAAGGCCUACCAAGGCGACGAUCCGUAACUGGUCUGAGAGGAUGAUCAGUCACACUGGAACUGAGACACGGUCCAGACUCCUACGGGAGGCAGCAGUGGGGAAUAUUGGACAAAGGGCGAAAGCCUGAUCCAGCCAUGCCGCGUGUGUGAAGAAGGUCUUCGGAUUGUAAAGCACUUUAAGUUGGGAGGAAGGGCAGUAAGUUAAUACCUUGCUGUUUUGACGUUACCAACAGAAUAAGAACCGGCUAACUUCGUG